GUGGCACACUGUUAGAGCCUGGCACUAACGUUGGUGUUAAGGUGUAGGUCGUGUGCUAAAGUGAACAAGCUGGGUUUUCGCUAACACCAUGAGGGCUUUUGGCCCAGUGACUGGGGUUUGAUAGUGACCUGAGCUACAUGU
Trichomycterus rosablanca is the source of this 141-nucleotide small nucleolar RNA. The record is from RefSeq and is a predicted model, not a curated record. NCBI's taxonomy places the organism in Eukaryota, Metazoa, Chordata, Actinopteri, Siluriformes, Trichomycteridae.